Molecule: ribosomal RNA, 406 nt
Filed under: uncultured bacterium
Lineage: Bacteria
Description: partial 16S ribosomal RNA
Rfam family: Bacterial small subunit ribosomal RNA
Source: RNAcentral
AUUGAACGCUGGCGGCAGGCCUAACACAAGCAGGUCGAACGAGUGGCGGACGGGUGAGUAAAGUCUGGGAAACUGCCUGAUGGAGGGGGAUAACUACUGGAAACGGUAGCUAAUACCGCAUACCAUCAGAUGUGCCCAGAUGGGAUUAGCUAGUUGGUGGGGUAACGGCUCACCAAGGCGACGAUCCCUAGCUGGUCUGAGAGGAUGACCAGCCACACUGGAACGGAGAAACGGUCCAGACUCCUACGGGAGGCAGAAGUGGGGAAUAUUGCACAAUUGGCGAAAGCCUGAUGCAGCCAUGCCGCGUGUAUGAAGAAGGCCUUCGGGUUGUAAAGUACUUUCAGCGGGGAGGCGUUACCCGCAGAAGAAGCACCGGCUAGCUCCGUGCCAGCAGCCGCGGUAAUAC